RNAcentral lists this ribosomal RNA (526 nucleotides) under soil fungal sp. DM2-035. RNAcentral's name for it is "eukaryotic LSU rRNA". It matches the Rfam family "Eukaryotic large subunit ribosomal RNA", at positions 100 to 653 of the family's 3401-position model. Lineage: Eukaryota; Fungi. The record is from RNAcentral.
GGCAACAGCUCAAUUUGAAAUCUGGCUUCGGCCCGAGUUGUAAUUUGCAGAGGAAGCUUUAGGCGCGGCACCAACUGAGUCCCCUGGAACGGGGCGCCACAGAGGGUGAGAGCCCCGUAUAGUUGGACGCCUAGCCUGUGUAAAGCUCCUUCGACGAGUCGAGUAGUUUGGGAAUGCUGCUCAAAAUGGGAGGUAAAUUUCUUCUAAAGCUAAAUACCGGCCAGAGACCGAUAGCGCACAAGUAGAGUGAUCGAAAGAUGAAAAGCACUUUGAAAAGAGGGUUAAAUAGCACGUGAAAUUGUUGAAAGGGAAGCGCUUGUGACCAGACUUGCGCCCGGCUGAUCAUCCGGUGUUCUCACCGGUGCACUCUGCCGGGCUCAGGCCAGCAUCGGUUCUCGCGGGGGGAUAAAGGUCCUGGGAACGUAGCUCCUCCGGGAGUGUUAUAGCCCAGGGCGUCAUGCCCUCGCGGGGACCGAGGUUCGCGCAUCUGCAAGGAUGCUGGCGUAAUGGUCAUCAGCGACCCGUC